GACGAACGCUGGCGGCGUGGAUUAGGCAUGCAAGUCGAACGGUAGGAUACCUUCGGGUAUCUGAGAGUGGCGAACGGGUGAGUAACACGUAGGUGAUCUACCCUCAAGAUUGGGACAACCCAGGGAAACUUGGGCUAAUACCGGAUGAAAGCAGCAGUGAUGUUGUUUGAAAGGUGGCGUAAGCUGCCGUUUGGGGAUGAGCCUGCGCUCUAUUAGUUAGUUGGCGGGGUAAAGGCCCACCAAGGCGAUGAUAGAUAGGCGGCCUUAACGGGUGGUCGCCCACACUGGGAUUGAGAUACGGCCCAGACUCCUACGGGAGGCAGCAGUCGAGAAUAGUCUACAAUGGCCGAAAGGCUGAUAGUGCGACGCCGCGUGAACGAAGAAGCCCUUCGGGGUGUAAAGUUCUUUUAUAUGUGAGCAGUGCUUUCUAUGUGAACAGCAUGGGGAGAGAGAUAUUAGCAUAUGAAUAAGCAACGGCUAACUCCGUGCCAGCAGCCG
Molecule: ribosomal RNA, 498 nt
Filed under: uncultured bacterium
Lineage: Bacteria
Description: bacterial SSU rRNA
Rfam family: Bacterial small subunit ribosomal RNA
Source: RNAcentral